GGAGAAUGGGGGUAGAGACAUGUUACCUGGAGCAACCUGUGCCAAGCCAUGUGGUCCUGUCACACACCAGAGAGUUUGCCUUGCUGGUGGUGCUGUGGGCAGGCUGUGUCCCACCCUGCACUGGCUGCAGGCAAGUGCUGCAGAGGCUGCCCUCGCAUCUGCAGGGAAAUUUAAGAAGGAAAAGCAUUAAAUCAGAAAGGCUCUAUUAAACCAGAUUGUUACCAGAUAUACAGAAGAACCCACUGGUAAGUAGCACAAAAUGGCCAGGCUUAAUGGAAAUUUAAAAUUCAGUAACAAUUUAUUUAGAGUAGGCAAGAACAAAACUACUUACAUUAAACUUCUGUAGUGGCAUUAUUUUAAAAAAUACAAAAUGUUUAAAAAGAGCAGCAAGUAAUGAGGCAAAAGGCACAAACCAGGCUGAUACAGCCAUUGAAAAUGACAGCAGCAAGACAUAAAACGAUUUUGCUUAAAAACUAUGCUAAAACAAUUUUAUGUUUAAGCAAACAUAUUUACAGUUUUACAGGUGAGGUAUCAAGCUAUUUAAUGUUUAACCCGUUAAAUACUUUAGUGCAACAAGAGAACUAUUAAUGUUUCAGAAAGCCUAUCUAGAAAACAUUCCUAACUUUUCAUGGCACAAUGACUUUAGUACUCAACUGACUGGCCUCUUAGGUACUAACCACCAAGCUGACUGGCUUCCAAAAGGAGUAAAAUAAAGACUGUCAACUAAUGUAACAUUUUAAUCCUAAUUUGACCUGUAAAGGACUGGAAAUUUAACUGAAAAAAUCAUGAAGGGUUUUAUGGCAUGUCUAGGAACAGUCUUUACCAAUAUUGCUAGCAGCUUUUACUUACUAGUGUCAGGAUAUGGGGGUCAGUAACAGUUUAAAUUCCAUUUCAGAACAGGCACACAGGAAUGUAACCACAGCUAAGCAAACUGAGCAAAGUAACUUUCAAGCAAUGUUUUCAGCCCUGAUUUAUCUUUUUGAGACAGCUUUCUGCUGUUUCAUGCAAGACAAGAAUCAAGGUGUUCAUUUAUUUUAGAUUCCAAAACUUCAGUUUCGCAGACAGGACAACUGACAUUUUUAUCUUGCCUCACAGGAUUGCUAGAACUUGCAGAGGACUGUGUAAAUUCAGCUUUGGUUUUCAUAGUUGUAUUUAUACUUGAAGUGACACCAGUACCCCCUUUUUUAAUGAAAUACUUUUCAAAGGCAGUUUUGUCUUCCAUUUUUGGCCAUUGCUGUGGUGUAUUAACACAUUCUAAGCUUUUUUUCUCAGAUGCAACCUGAGCUGUUGUUGUCUGCUCCAGACAAAUUUGUUUGGGUGGCCGGCUGGGAGACGGCAGAGCCCUCUUGUUAUUUGCAGAGCCUUGGUUUGAUUUUAAUUCCCUAAUAUGAGCCAUUCUAGCAGGCAAUCCACUAUCAUUCUCGUAAUCUUCUGUGUUAGCAACGGAGAGUUUAGGAAACUCAUGCUUUAAAGUUAAGUUGAUCUUCUCACUGGCAUCAUCGGUAUGAAGUGGAAAGAUGCCACUAUGGGGUAAUUUUUCAAAUUUUAUCUCAUUUUUAGGGAUUGGUCUUGUCCUUACUGCUGAAUGAUGCUGUGAACCAUGUGCUUCACUGUUUCCAAUGCUGCUGCUGGCAUUUGUGUCUUUUUCUGAAAGUACAUUGUCUCCUCCUCCAAGCCGGUAACCCAUUCCACUAAAAGGCAUCAGAUCUUGAGUACCAUGCAUUUGUGUCUUGCCUGCAAAAAGAUUAAAAAAAAAAAUUAGUAACUUUUCCGUUUAAAAAUCACGGGCUCAGUAUUUGACACGCUUCAUACAAAACCUCUGCUACCUGAAAACAGUGCAUCAAACAAAACUUUUUACAGACAAUUCAGUUGAGAAGGAGCCUAGAAAUGCACAAAAAACCCAGGUCCUAUUCUUUCCUAGAUAACAGUAACAUCUAAACAAAGCUUAUGUAGUGGUUGGUCCAUAAAUGUUCCAAGAAAACGUUUGGGAAAAAUCAGUUUGGAAAAGGAAAAGAAAUAAUAAAAUACCUUUGUUCUUUGACUUGAAAUGUGGAAGUUUUGCUGUCUCAGUUUUAUGCUUUGAUUUCUUGGAGAACUUCUCUGGCUCUUUCACUUUUGUGAAUGUGCCCCCACA
Chiroxiphia lanceolata (lance-tailed manakin) is the source of this 2134-nucleotide long non-coding RNA. RefSeq lists it as uncharacterized. Lineage: Eukaryota; Metazoa; Chordata; Aves; Passeriformes; Pipridae. The record is from RefSeq and is a predicted model, not a curated record. The transcript is spliced from 4 exons.